Gossypium hirsutum (cotton) is the source of this 107-nucleotide non-coding RNA. NCBI's taxonomy places the organism in Eukaryota, Viridiplantae, Streptophyta, Magnoliopsida, Malvales, Malvaceae. The record is from Rfam.
AUGCCAUGAUGUGGGUACUUUCGUAAUAACUCCUUGAACCACUCUCAUGCCUCAUAUAAAUAUUCUUCGUCAAGUUCCUGAAAUGAAGUCAUUUCAUUUUGGAUCUU